Ictalurus punctatus (channel catfish) is the source of this 984-nucleotide long non-coding RNA. The record is from Ensembl. NCBI's taxonomy places the organism in Eukaryota, Metazoa, Chordata, Actinopteri, Siluriformes, Ictaluridae.
UUUUUUUUUUUUUCUGGCGAGAGAGGUGAAGGGGAGGGGAAUAAAGUUACAAGUGUGCGUCGUAGGGCUGAAAGGCAGUGUGGGAAAAAGCGGCCUUGGCAGGGAGACGGGGUCAGCGGCGAGCCCGCCGCACCAGGUGUCCCCCCUGCAUUCAAACGAUACGCUCAUUCAUAGAGCGGGCGCGGAGUAUUAAAACUCAGAAUUUGCAACUGAAUGCUGAUAUAAUCCUGGAAAUAUAUGUCUCCAUUAAGCGAGCUCCCAUUAAGCGCACAAGGAAGCCUUUGUGCUGGGGCUUUAUGUAUAUUUAUCAAGGUUUUAAAAGAAGGCCGGUGAGGAUGGAGAGACGGAGGGAGGGAGGGAGGGAGGGAGGGAGAGGGGAGAAGGCUCGGGUGGACUUUCCAACUGUUUACAUGUUAAUUUUCAAACUUAACAGCCCUCGUCCUGGAACUAUUUAUACACAGAAUGCUAAUCAUUUUCUUCCCCCCCAACGCUCUCCUCUUUCCUUUCUUUCUUUCGCUCUCUCUCUCUUGGCAGCAGUUAUUUCCCACUUGACUGUGGCUAUGCUAAUGUGUGUGGAUGCGUGUGUGUGUGUGUGGAUGCGUGUGUGUGUGUCUGAGAGAGAGGGGUUAGGUUUAGUAACGGCCCACUCGAAACUCAGAGACAGUUCAAAACAUCAAAAAACGUCCAUUUUUACUUCAAAACACAGCGUCUGCUGAGGUUUACAGAAGAGAAAUGGACAGAAAGGAAAGGAAAGGAAACGAAAGGAAAGGAAAUGGACAGAAAGGAAAGGAAAGGGACAGAAAGGAAAGGAAAGGAAAGGAAAGGAAAGGAAAUGGACAGAAAGGAAAGGAAAGGAAACGGACAGAAAGGAAAGGGACAGAAAGGAAAGGGACAGAAACGAAAGGAAAUGGACAGAAAGGAAAUGGACAGAAAGGAAAGGGACAGAAAGGAAAGGGACAGAAACGAAAGGAAAUGGACAGAAAG